UUGCCCCCCUGGUUCUGUGUUGCUCUUUGAAUAGAAGUGUUUGCUGAUCUCACCACGGUCUCAUACAUUAACAGGACAAUGUUCUCAACGUGUUAUAGAAGACACACCAACUGUCCUUGGCUUCAGCGUGGAGCCACAGGGUUUUCUGUCACUCAUUGCUUGACUAUCUCAGGUCCAUGCUCCUCUUGACAGCCCUCCCCCUGGUGGUAUAGCACUGUGGUUAAAAGAAGCUAAGUACACAGCAAAGAAAGCCAUCAAGAAAAUGAAAAAGGGUUCCAGACCAGAAUGUUACUUGGAAUGUUUAACCAUCAUUAUCAGAGAAGGCAAUGGCACUCCAGUACUCUUGCCUGGAAACUCCCAUGGACGGAGGAGCCUGGUAGGCUGCAGUCCAUGGGGUCGGUAAGAGUUGUACACGACUUAGCGACUUCACUUUCACUUUUCACUUUCAUGCAUUGGAGAAGGAAAGGGCAACCCACUCCAGUGUUCUUGCCUGGAGAAUCCCAGGGACGGGGGAGCCUGGUGGGCUGCUGUCUAUGGGGUCGCACAGAGUCGGACACGACUGAAGUGACUUAGCAGCAGCAACCAUCAUUAUGGCUUCCCUGGUGGCUCAGAUGGUAAAGAAUCUGCCUGCAGUGCGGGAGACUUGGGUUUGAUCCCUGGGUUGGGACGAUCCCCUGGAGAAGGAAAUGGCAACCCACGCCAGUAUUCUUGCCUGGAGAAUUCUAUGGACAUAGGAGCCUGAUAGGCUGCAGUCCAUGGGAUCUCAGAGAGUCGGACACGACUAAGCGACUAAGCACAGCACAUGGCUCUGGCACCAACUAAUCUGAACAGAUGCUUCACCCCAUAAAAAUGGAGAAAUGGCUGUGAAAAAACUAGAACAGCCAUACCAGUAUGUGCAGACAGAAUAUUAGCCUUCCUUCCAGGGACCCCCACCAACACAGUCUCCCAUAGUGCCUCACUAAAGUAGGCUGAAUGGAUACAUGAAUGGCUUUGAGGAUAGGCUUUUCCUCCUCUGCCUUCAGCACACCUAA
This is a long non-coding RNA of Bos taurus (domestic cattle), 1031 nucleotides long. NCBI's taxonomy places the organism in Eukaryota, Metazoa, Chordata, Mammalia, Artiodactyla, Bovidae. The record is from Ensembl.